UACGGGGGGGGCAAGCGUUGUUCGGAAUUACUGGGCGUAAAGGGCUCGUAGGUGGCCAACUAAGUCAGACGUGAAAUCCCUCGGCUUAACCGGGGAACUGCGUCUGAUACUGGAUGGCUUGAGUUUGGGAGAGGGAUGCGGAAUUCCAGGUGUAGCGGUGAAAUGCGUAGAUAUUGGGAGGAACACCAGUGGCGAAGGCGGCUCACUGGACCGGAACUGACGCUGAGGCGCGAAAGCGUGGGGAGCAAACAGG
This 253-nucleotide ribosomal RNA is filed under the name uncultured bacterium. RNAcentral describes it as "partial 16S ribosomal RNA". It matches the Rfam family "Bacterial small subunit ribosomal RNA", at positions 524 to 776 of the family's 1533-position model. The record is from RNAcentral.